GUCGAGAAUCAUUCGCAAUGGGCGAAAGCCUGACGAUGCGACGCCGUGUGAACGAUGAAGGCCUUCGGGUUGUAAAGUUCUUUCGCCUACGAACAAGAGAGACUGACAAAUAAUCAGUUAAUUUGAGGGUAGUAGGUAAAGAAGCACCGGCUAACUCCGUGCCAGCAGCUGCGGUAAUACGGAGGGUGCAAGCAUUAAUCGGAUUUAUUGGGCGUAAAGGGCGCGUAGGCGGGAAAGUCAGUCAGAUGUGAAAGCCCAGGGCUCAACCCUGGAACAGCAUUUGAAACUACUUUUCUAGAGGGUAGGCGGAGAAAACAGAAUUCCACGUGUAGCGGUGAAAUGCGUAGAUAUGUGGAGGAAUACCGGUGGCGAAGGCGGUUUUCUAGCUUAUUCCUGACGCUAAUGCGCGAAAGCAAGGGGAGCAAACAGGAUUAGAUACCCCGGUAGUCC
RNAcentral lists this ribosomal RNA (450 nucleotides) under uncultured bacterium. RNAcentral describes it as "partial 16S ribosomal RNA". It matches the Rfam family "Bacterial small subunit ribosomal RNA", at positions 354 to 796 of the family's 1533-position model. The record is from RNAcentral.